UACGGAGGGUGCAAGCAUUAAUCGGAUUUAUUGGGCGUAAAGGGCGCGUAGGCGGAAAUAUAAGUCAGAUGUGAAAUCCCGGGGCUCAACCCCGGAACAGCAUUUGAAACUAUAUUCCUUGAGGGUAGGCGGAGAAAACGGAAUUCCACAUGUAGCGGUGAAAUGCGUAGAUAUGUGGCAGAACAUCGGUGGCGAAGGCGGUUUUCUAGCUUAUUCCUGACGCUGAGGCGCGAAAGUAAGGGGAUCAAACAGG
RNAcentral lists this ribosomal RNA (253 nucleotides) under uncultured bacterium. RNAcentral describes it as "partial 16S ribosomal RNA". It matches the Rfam family "Bacterial small subunit ribosomal RNA", at positions 524 to 776 of the family's 1533-position model. The record is from RNAcentral.